UUUCUGUCAGAUAAAGAAAGUGUAAACAUAUCGGCAAAAGGGGAACUGUGGUUUUAUCUGAAACACUAAUCUAUUUAGAGAGAACAAACCUGCCACCUCAAAAUUUCUGUGACCCAGAUGCAUUUUGCUGUACGCGAGCAAGGCACUACCAUUACUGUUUGACAGAACCCUCCGUGAGAAGUUAUACAUGUGCUAAAAGCCACCUCCAACUGUGCCAGCCUGGAAUCUGUCUACUCCGUUAAUGCGGCGAUCUUGCGUUGCUAUCAUUGUUUUACAUGCACGUCUUCAUCAUUCAUCACCAGAGCUGCUGAGCUUGGAACCUUGUCUCCUUGUGUCCAGACUCUCCACCUCCAAGCUGACGUCUUCCACCACAUUCCUGAUGUUUUACAUCGAGCAUGUGUUGAUUUGGACUAGAAAGCAAACCAGUCACUUCUGUUCGGGCGGCAAAGGAGUCAUCGAAGUAGAACUUGCUCUCCUGGCACAAAGAACCAGAAGACAAGGACAAAAUAUGUAAAGUGACUGUGCUCAGAUACGGGGACACUCGGCCACGGAGCACGUGGUCCCUGAGGUGAUGGAAACAAAUGAGACCCAGCCAAUCUGCAGCACACCCUAGGGCCGGGAUUUGGAGUUCGUGAGACAAUGAAGCAAGGGGUCCUUCCUGGUUGUGACAAGAUGACAGCCACCCCCAGCUCCAGCGUCACCGAGUCGGCUGUAGUGUCCAGUGUGUCACACGGGCGGCACCAGCAGGGCCCUUCUGUCACCUCUCCUGUCUCCUCCACGUCUGUCCUUUCCCGUCCUGUCUACUCUCCGAGCUACUCAAGGGUCAUCCCCUGAGCGCAUUUGUUUCCCACUGUGACCUCCUAUAACCGGUUUCUGUUGCUACAGCUGAGAUCCCUGAAACACACCUUCUCAGGGCCCUGCUGCACCAGCCCCAGCUCCCCGGCCUUGGCAAACUGCAGAGGACAGGAUGGGCCUGCUUCCAGACCCUGGUCCCCAGGCCUCGGCACCAGGGCCAGGUCCCACGGGCUGCUGGAGCCCCAAGGGCUGGUAGGAGGAGAGGGAAGGGGAGGGUCCUGCAUUUAUGGACCCAGGACAUUGUGAAGCCACCUUUGAUUGGACAGAGCAGGCUUUCAGAAGACCCAGGGCCACCUGGCUGGAAAUGGAUAUAGUCAAUUCCCCCUGUGACUCCUAAGCCCUUCCCCAUCCAUCUCUCAGGAAGGAGCAUGUCAAGAGCUUAGUGUUAUCACCCACCACCCCCGCUCGCUAUACAGGGAGAGCCAUUUCUUCGAGGACUCCUACUUUUUGUCUGCUUCAAACUCCUGUCCCCAGCACGGCCAAGUACCCACCACCUCCUGUGUCAUCCCGGCUUAUGUUGAGAAUGAAUGAUUUGUCCAGCAGAGGAGGGGGACUUGCUCUCAUGUUCCCCCUUCCUGGCUCAUUCCCACCGGGAGGAGAUGCCUUCAGCCAGAGAGUGAACUUAACUUCCAGGCCAUCCCCUCUAGCCUUACUGACUAGCGCCAACCUGGUUAGCCCCCAAGCACUAUGAUGGCGUAUAUUUCGGGAGCUCCCAGCCACCCCAUCCACGGGCAGCCACCCUCCACGCCUUGUACUAGACUGCCCACCAUCUGUAGUUGGCCAAACAAAAGUUAGGAACGAGAUGAUGAUGUGUCACGGUUCCUUGGUUGUAAGCAACGAACCAACUCUAUCUAGCUAACCCAACAAAUGGAGACCCUGGUUCAAGGGCUUUCAGGUAGCUCACAGAGAGGACAGGAGGCUGGAGAUCCAGUCUUGAAAUGGGAUAGGAGCCAACGGCAACUGGUCAACUGUUGCGUUGGAGAGUUACUGGGGAGAUGGGUGUGCGCUCAGCGUGAUCUCUGAGGAUGCACGGGUCUGUCCAAAAUUCACAGUGUCAGGAGAGUCUGAGUGGCCCUGUCUGGCUCAUGGGUCCACCUCUUGGCUUGUGGAAAAGUCCUUUGAUUUACUGUCCCACCCAGAGGGCACACAGGGCGAGAAGCUCAACUCCACAAACAAAAGCUGGGGUGCUGGGGCGCCUGGGUGGCUCAGUCGGUUGGGGGGCCCACUCCUGGUUUUGGCCCAAGUCACGAUCUCACAGUUUCAUGGGUUCGAGCCCCGUGUCU
Long non-coding RNA from Lynx canadensis (Canada lynx), 2138 nucleotides. RefSeq lists it as uncharacterized. NCBI's taxonomy places the organism in Eukaryota, Metazoa, Chordata, Mammalia, Carnivora, Felidae. The record is from RefSeq and is a predicted model, not a curated record. The transcript is spliced from 5 exons.